RNAcentral lists this ribosomal RNA (1149 nucleotides) under uncultured bacterium. RNAcentral describes it as "bacterial SSU rRNA". It matches the Rfam family "Bacterial small subunit ribosomal RNA", at positions 212 to 1375 of the family's 1533-position model. The record is from RNAcentral.
UCAACGGUAUAAGAUGAGUUCGCGUCUGAUUAGCUAGUUGGUGAGGUAAUGGCUCACCAAGGCGACGAUCAGUAGCCGGCCUGAGAGGGUGAACGGCCACACUGGAACUGAGACACGGUCCAGACUCCUACGGGAGGCAGCAGUGGGGAAUAUUGCACAAUGGGCGAAAGCCUGAUGCAGCGACGCCGCGUGAGUGAAGAAGGUCUUCGGAUCGUAAAACUCUGUCCUUGGUGAAGAAAAAAAUGACGGUAGCCAAGGAGGAAGCCCCGGCUAACUACGUGCCAGCAGCCGCGGUAAUACGUAGGGGGCGAGCGUUGUCCGGAUUUACUGGGCGUAAAGGGUGAGUAGGCGGCCUGUUAAGUCUGGAGUGAAAGUCCCGCUUUUAAGGUGGGAAUUGCUUUGGAAACUGGCGGGCUGGAGUGCAGGAGAGGUAAGUGGAAUUCCUAGUGUAGCGGUGAAAUGCGUAGAUAUUAGGAGGAACACCAGUGGCGAAGGCGACUUACUGGACUGUAACUGACGCUGAGUCACGAAAGCGUGGGUAGCAAACAGGAUUAGAUACCCUGGUAGUCCACGCUGUAAACGAUGAGUGCUAGGUGUUGGGGGUAUCGACCCCCUCGGUGCCACAGCUAACGCAAUAAGCACUCCGCCUGGGGAGUACGGUCGCAAGACUGAAACUCAAAGGAAUUGACGGGGACCCGCACAAGCAGCGGAGCAUGUGGUUUAAUUCGAAGCAACGCGAAGAACCUUACCAGGUCUUGACAUCCAGGUAAAGCGGUAGAGAUACAGUGUGCCUUCGGGCAAACUGAGACAGGUGGUGCAUGGUUGUCGUCAGCUCGUGUCGUGAGAUGUUGGGUUAAGUCCCGCAACGAGCGCAACCCUUAUUUUUAGUUACUAACGUGUAAAGGCGAGGACUCUAAAGAGACUGCCGGGGACAACUCGGAGGAAGGUGGGGACGACGUCAAAUCAUCAUGCCCCUUAUGACCUGGGCUACACACGUGCUACAAUGGCUACUACAAAGAGGAGCGAACCCGCAAGGGGGAGCGGAUCUGAGAAAAGUAGUCCCAGUUCGGAUCGUGGGCUGCAACCCGCCCACGUGAAGUCGGAGUUGCUAGUAAUCGCGGAUCAACAUGCCGCGGUGAAUACGUUCCC